GUCCACGCCGUAAACGAUGGAUACUAGCUGUUGGAAGUAAUUUCAGUGGUUAAGCGAAAGUGAUAAGUAUCCCACCUGGGGAGUACGUUCGCAAGAAUGAAACUCAAAGGAAUUGACGGGGGCCCGCACAAGCGGUGGAGCAUGUGGUUUAAUUCGAUGAUACGCGAGGAACCUUACCAAGGCUUAAAUGUAGUUUGACAGAUUUGGAAACAGAUUUUUCUUCGGACAAAUUACAAGGUGCUGCAUGGUUGUCGU
Molecule: ribosomal RNA, 255 nt
Filed under: uncultured bacterium
Lineage: Bacteria
Description: partial 16S ribosomal RNA
Rfam family: Bacterial small subunit ribosomal RNA
Source: RNAcentral